CCUACGGGUGGCAGCAGUGAGGAAUAUUGGUCAAUGGACGCGAGCCUGAACCAGCCAAGUCGCGUGCGGGAAGACGGUCCUAUGAAUUGUAAACCUCUUUUGUCGGGGAGCAAACGCCGCCACGCGUGGCGUUCCGAGAGUACCCGAAGAAAAAGCAUCGGCUAACUCCGUGCCAGCAGCCGCGGUAAUACGGAGGAUGCGAGCGUUAUCCGGAUUUAUUGGGUUUAAAGGGUGCGCAGGCGGAAGAUCAAGUCAGCGGUAAAAUUGGGGGGCUCAACCUCUUAGAGCCGUUGAAACUGGUUGUCUUGAGUGAGUGAGAAGUAUGCGGAAUGUGUGGUGUAGCGGUGAAAUGCAUAGAGAUCACGCAGAACUCCGAUUGCGAAGGCAGCAUACCGGCGCUCAACUGACGCUCAUGCACGAAAGUGUGGGUAGCGAACAGGAUUAGAUACCCUUGUAGUC
This 459-nucleotide ribosomal RNA is filed under the name uncultured bacterium. Its description in RNAcentral is "partial 16S ribosomal RNA". It matches the Rfam family "Bacterial small subunit ribosomal RNA", at positions 338 to 795 of the family's 1533-position model. The record is from RNAcentral.